This is a long non-coding RNA of Tachysurus vachellii, 622 nucleotides long. RefSeq lists it as uncharacterized. The record is from RefSeq and is a predicted model, not a curated record. The transcript is spliced from 2 exons. NCBI's taxonomy places the organism in Eukaryota, Metazoa, Chordata, Actinopteri, Siluriformes, Bagridae.
AGGAAGGAAGCGGAAUGGCGGAGACUCGGAAUUUGUGUCAGCCAGAACCGGGAGGAAAUAAAAGAGUAAUAAAGUGUAGUGUAACCUGCUUUGCCGCUGAGUGCUGUCGAGUGAAGUGAAGGCGAAUGUAACGAGUGACAGUCCAGCUGCAGUCCCUGUAAACAUCCUACACUCAGCUGUAGUGUGGAUGAAACGCUGAGAGGAGGGUGUUUGCUUUGACUGGUUGGAAAACCACCGUGAGGAAGCAAAGUGAAAGUGACGUGACAUACGGCAAAGUAUGGUGACCCAUACUCAGAAUUCGUUCUCUGCAUUUGACCCAUCCAAAGUGCACACACAGCAGUGAACACACACACCCGGAGCAGUGGGCAAUGGAUAGCAAUGCGUAGAAUUGUAUAAACCUCGUAAUCGGUAUGAUGAACCUUUUGUAUGACUGAUAAUCUGAAUAAAAGUUUCUUUGUUGUUGUGUGUCAGUUGGCUGCUGAGUUUGUUGUCAAGACUGUAGAAAGACAAAAGCUAUAUUAGUUCAACAUAUGUUUUCCGUAAGGUGCAAGUAGUUUGAAAACAAAACUAAAGAAAGCAAAACCCCAGACACAAGCACUAAAUAAAGUCUUUCAAACUGUUA